UUGGGAUAGCUCAGUUGGUAGAGCAGAGGACUGAAAAUCCUCGUGUCAC
This 49-nucleotide transfer RNA is filed under the name Senecio inaequidens. RNAcentral's name for it is "partial tRNA-Phe". Lineage: Eukaryota; Viridiplantae; Streptophyta; Magnoliopsida; Asterales; Asteraceae. RNAcentral also lists the same sequence under 26 other names. The record is from RNAcentral.